GGCGCCAUAGCUCAGCUGGAUAGAGCAGGAGACUUCUAAGCUCAAGGUCGCAGGUUCGAAUCCUGCUGGCGCUACCA
RNAcentral lists this transfer RNA (77 nucleotides) under Candidatus Saccharimonadota bacterium. RNAcentral's name for it is "tRNA-Arg". It matches the Rfam family "tRNA". From Rfam's summary of the family: Transfer RNA (tRNA) molecules are approximately 80 nucleotides in length. Their secondary structure includes four short double-helical elements and three loops (D, anti-codon, and T loops). Lineage: Bacteria; Candidatus Saccharimonadota. RNAcentral also lists the same sequence under 1 other name. The record is from RNAcentral.